CACGGUGGAUGCCCUGGCAGUCAGAGGCGAUGAAGGGCGUGCUAAUCUGCGAUAAGCGCCGGUAAGGUGAUAUGAACCGUUAUAACCGGCGAUACCCGAAUGGGGAAACCCAGUGUGACUCGUCACACUAUCAUUAACUGAAUCCAUAGGUUAAUGAGGCGAACCGGGGGAACUGAAACAUCUAAGUACCCCGAGGAAAAGAAAUCAACCGAGAUUCCCCCAGUAGCGGCGAGCGAACGGGGAGGAGCCCAGAGCCUGAAUCAGCAUGUGUGUUAGUGGAAGCGUCUGGAAAGGCGCGCGAUACAGGGUGACAGCCCCGUACACAAAAGCGCAUGUGCUGUGAGCUCGAUGAGUAGGGCGGGACACGUGGUAUCCUGUCUGAAUAUGGGGGGACCAUCCUCCAAGGCUAAAUACUCCUGACUGACCGAUAGUGAACCAGUACCGUGAGGGAAAGGCGAAAAGAACCCCGGCGAGGGGAGUGAAAAAGAACCUGAAACCGUGUACGUACAAGCAGUGGGAGCACCCUUUGGGUGUGACUGCGUACCUUUUGUAUAAUGGGUCAGCGACUUAUAUUCUGUAGCAAGGUUAACCGAAUAGGGGAGCCGGAGGGAAACCGAGUCUUAAC
This 625-nucleotide ribosomal RNA is filed under the name Salmonella enterica. Its description in RNAcentral is "partial 23S ribosomal RNA". It matches the Rfam family "Bacterial large subunit ribosomal RNA", at positions 20 to 688 of the family's 2925-position model. The record is from RNAcentral. Lineage: Bacteria; Pseudomonadati; Pseudomonadota; Gammaproteobacteria; Enterobacterales; Enterobacteriaceae.